CCUACGGGUGGCUGCAGUGAGGAAUAUUGGACAAUGGGCGAAAGCCUGAUCCAGCAAUACCGCGUGAAUGAUGAAGGCCUUAGGGUUGUAAAGUUCUUUUAGUAGGGAAGAUAAUGACGGUACCUACAGAAAAAGCCCCGGCUAACUCCGUGCCAGCAGCCGCGGUAAGACGGAGGGGGCUAGCGUUGUUCGGAAUUACUGGGCGUAAAGGGCGCGUAGGCGGAUUAGUAAGUUGGAAGUGAAAUCCCGGAGCUUAACUUCGGAACUGCUUUCAA
Molecule: ribosomal RNA, 275 nt
Filed under: uncultured bacterium
Lineage: Bacteria
Description: partial 16S ribosomal RNA
Rfam family: Bacterial small subunit ribosomal RNA
Source: RNAcentral